UACGUAGGGUGCGAGCGUUAAUCGGAAUUACUGGGCGUAAAGCGGGCGCAGACGGUUACUUAAGCAGGAUGUGAAAUCCCCGGGCUUAACCUGGGAACUGCGUUCUGAACUGGGUAGCUAGAGUAUGUCAGAGGGGGGUAGAAUUCCACGUGUAGCAGUGAAAUGCGUAGAGAUGUGGAGGAAUACCGAUGGCGAAGGCAGCCUCCUGGGAUAAUACUGACGUUCAUGCCCGAAAGCGUGGGUAGCAAACAGG
RNAcentral lists this ribosomal RNA (253 nucleotides) under uncultured bacterium. RNAcentral describes it as "partial 16S ribosomal RNA". It matches the Rfam family "Bacterial small subunit ribosomal RNA", at positions 524 to 776 of the family's 1533-position model. The record is from RNAcentral.